This 440-nucleotide ribosomal RNA is filed under the name uncultured bacterium. RNAcentral's name for it is "partial 16S ribosomal RNA". It matches the Rfam family "Bacterial small subunit ribosomal RNA", at positions 338 to 795 of the family's 1533-position model. The record is from RNAcentral.
CCUACGGGUGGCAGCAGUAGGGAAUAUUGCUCAAUGGGGGAAACCCUGAAGCAGCAACGCCGCGUGGAGGAUGAAGGUUUUAGGAUUGUAAACCCCUUUUGUUCGAGUAGCUUAUGACGGUAUAUAUCGAAUAAGCACCGGCUCACUCCGUGCCAGCAGCCGCGGUAAUACGGAGGGUGCAAGCGUUACUCGGAAUCCAUGGGCGUAAAGAGUGCGUUGGCGGGGUAAUAAGUCAGAUGUGAAAUCCUGUAGCUUAACUACAGAACUGCAUUUGAAACUGUUACUCUGGAGUGUGGGAGAGGUAGGUGGAAUUCUUGGUGUAGGGGUAAAAUGCGUAGAGAUCAAGAGGAAUACUCAUUGCGAAGGCGACCUGCUGGAACAUUACUGACGCUGAUGCACGAAAGCGUGGGGAGCAAACAGGAUUAGAUACCCGUGUAGUC